Molecule: ribosomal RNA, 275 nt
Filed under: uncultured prokaryote
Description: partial 16S ribosomal RNA
Rfam family: Bacterial small subunit ribosomal RNA
Source: RNAcentral
UACGGAGGAUCCUAGCGUUAUCCGGAUUUAUUGGGUUUAAAGGGUGCGCAGGCGGGAGAUUAAGUCGGCGGUGAAAUUUUGCAGCUCAACUGUAAAAGUGCCUUCGAAACUGGUUUCCUUGAGUGUAGAUGAAGUAGGCGGAAUUUGUGGUGUAGCGGUGAAAUGCAUAGAUAUCACGAGGAACUCCGAUUGCGCAGGCAGCUUACUAAACUACUACUGACGCUCGGGCACGAAGGCGUGGGGAUCAAACAUGAUUAGAUACCCCGGUAGUCCCU